GCCGAGGUGGUGAAAUUGGUAGACGCACCAGACUCAAAAUCUGGCGAGAGCAAUCUCGUGGGGGUUCGAUUCCCCCUCUCGGCA
This 84-nucleotide transfer RNA is filed under the name Deltaproteobacteria bacterium. Its description in RNAcentral is "tRNA-Leu". It matches the Rfam family "tRNA". Rfam says of the family: Transfer RNA (tRNA) molecules are approximately 80 nucleotides in length. Their secondary structure includes four short double-helical elements and three loops (D, anti-codon, and T loops). Further hydrogen bonds mediate the characteristic L-shaped molecular structure. tRNAs have two regions of fundamental functional importance: the anti-codon, which is responsible for specific mRNA codon recognition, and the 3' end, to which the tRNAs corresponding amino acid is attached (by aminoacyl-tRNA synthetases). tRNAs cope with the degeneracy of the genetic code in two manners: having more than one tRNA (with a specific anti-codon) for a particular amino acid; and 'wobble' base-pairing, i.e. permitting non-standard base-pairing at the 3rd anti-codon position. Lineage: Bacteria; Pseudomonadati; Myxococcota; Myxococcia. The record is from RNAcentral.